GAUGAACGCUGGCGGCGUGCCUAAUACAUGCAAGUCGAGCGAACAGAUGAGGAGCUUGCUCCUCUGACGUUAGCGGCGGACGGGUGAGUAACACGUGGAUAACCUACCUAUAAGACUGGGAUAACUUCGGGAAACCGGAGCUAAUACCGGAUAAUAUAUUGAACCGCAUGGUUCAAUAGUGAAAGACGGUUUUGCUGUCACUUAUAGAUUGAUCCGCGCCGCAUUAGCUAGUUGGUAAGGUAACGGCUUACCAAGGCAACGAUGCGUAGCCGACCUGAGAGGGUGAUCGGCCACACUGGAACUGAGACACGGCCCAGACUCCUACGGGAGGCAGCAGUAGGGAAUCUUCCGCAAUGGGCGAAAGCCUGACGGAGCAACGCCGCGUGAGUGAUGAAGGUCUUCGGAUCGUAAAACUCUGUUAUUAGGGAAGAACAAAUGUGUAAGUAACUAUGCACGUCUUGACGGUACCUAAUCAGAAAGCCACGGCUAACUACGUG
Molecule: ribosomal RNA, 497 nt
Filed under: uncultured bacterium
Lineage: Bacteria
Description: partial 16S ribosomal RNA
Rfam family: Bacterial small subunit ribosomal RNA
Source: RNAcentral